This 497-nucleotide ribosomal RNA is filed under the name uncultured bacterium. RNAcentral describes it as "partial 16S ribosomal RNA". It matches the Rfam family "Bacterial small subunit ribosomal RNA", at positions 28 to 507 of the family's 1533-position model. The record is from RNAcentral.
GAUGAACGCUGGCGGCGUGCCUAAUACAUGCAAGUCGAGCGAACGGACGAGAAGCUUGCUUCUCUGAUGUUAGCGGCGGACGGGUGAGUAACACGUGGAUAACCUACCUAUAAGACUGGGAUAACUUCGGGAAACCGGAGCUAAUACCGGAUAAUCUUUUGAACCGCAUGGUUCAAAAGUGAAAGACGGUCUUGCUGUCACUUAUAGAUGGAUCCGCGCUGCAUUAGCUAGUUGGUAAGGUAACGGCUUACCAAGGCAACGAUGCAUAUCCGACCUGAGAGGGUUGUCGGCCACAAUGGGACUGAGACAAGGUCCAGAAUCCUACGGGAAGGAGCAGUAGGGAAUCUUCCGCAAUGGGCGGCAGCCUGACGGAGCAAAGCCGCGUGAGUGAUGAAGGUCUUCGGAUCGUAAAACUCUGUUAUUAGGGAAGAAAAUAUGUGUAAGUAACUGUGCACAUCUUGACGGUACCUAAUCAGAAAGCCACGGCUAACUACGUG